Molecule: ribosomal RNA, 429 nt
Filed under: Chloroflexota bacterium
Lineage: Bacteria; Bacillati; Chloroflexota
Description: Chloroflexi bacterium partial 16S ribosomal RNA
Rfam family: Bacterial small subunit ribosomal RNA
Source: RNAcentral
UGGGGAAUAUUGCACAAUGGGCGCAAGCCUGAUGCAGCCAUGCCGCGUGUGUGAAGAAGGCCUUCGGGUUGUAAAGCACUUUCAGCGGGGAGGAAGGCGGUGAGGUUAAUAACCUCACCGAUUGACGUUACCCGCAGAAGAAGCACCGGCUAACUCCGUGCCAGCAGCCGCGGUAAUACGGAGGGUGCAAGCGUUAAUCGGAAUUACUGGGCGUAAAGCGCACGCAGGCGGUCUGUCAAGUCGGUUGUGAAAUCCCCGGGCUCAACCUGGGAACGGCAUUCGAAACUGGCAGGCUAGAGUCUUGUAGAGGGGGGUAGAAUUCCAGGUGUGGCGGUGAAAUGCGUAGAGAUCUGGAGGAAUACCGGUGGCGAAGGCGGCCCCCUGGACAAAGACUGACGCUCAGGUGCGAAAGCGUGGGGAGCAAACAGG